This is an RNA transcript of Hirundo rustica (Barn swallow), 7059 nucleotides long. It is a transcript of the gene named E74 like ETS transcription factor 2, with no coding region annotated. The transcript has 10 exons. NCBI's taxonomy places the organism in Eukaryota, Metazoa, Chordata, Aves, Passeriformes, Hirundinidae. The record is from RefSeq and is a predicted model, not a curated record.
CGUGCCUCGUCCCUCGCUCGGGUCGCUGUGCGCCCUGCGCUGCUCGCACCGCCGAUAAACAGCACGAGUCUGGCGUACUUUUCGUUAUACCGUGACCGUAAAACGCCGUGCUGGCGACCUCUACCUAGCUGUUUAAGAGCAGUGGAUUGUGAAUUCAAGCCGUUGAUAUUCUGACGUUAUCAGCAUUACUGUCUUCGAGAGAAAGGAAGUUCUCCAAGAAUCUUCGGGGGAUGCACCAUGACAUCAGUAGUGAUUGACAAUGGAGGCCCUGCCCUGGAAUUUGACAGCAGUGAGAUAAAAAAUCAAGAGGUUAGAAAAGAAGAUGAGCCAGUCUCUGAAUUCCCAGCAGUGGUUGUGGAGCCAGUUCCUAGUGCCAGACUAGAACAGGGUUACGCUGCUCAGGUCCUGGUUUAUGAUGAUGAGACUUACCUGAUGCAAGAUGUAGCAGAGGAACAAGAAAUUGAGACUGAAACUGUGGAAACAGUAGAAGCAUCAGUUCAUGGCAGUAAUGUGCACUGCACAGAUAAGACAAUUGAAGCUGCAGAGGCCUUGCUUCAUAUGGAGUCUCCUACCUGCCUGAGAGAUGCCAGGAGUCCUGUGGAAGUUUUUGUCCCUCCUUGUGUGUCCACCCCAGAAUUUAUCCAUGCAGCCAUGAGACCCGAUGUGAUCACAGAAACCGUGGUGGAAGUGUCAACAGAGGAAUCUGAACAAAUGGAUGUAUCUCCUGUUCCAACUUCCCCUGAUAUCCAUGAACCAAUGAAAAAGAAAAAGGCUGGCCGUAAACCCAAGACCCAGCAAUCAGCUUUAUCUGAUGGGUCUCCAGAUCUAGGUAUAAAGAAGAAACCUAGAGAAGGCAAAGGGAAUACAACAUACUUGUGGGAGUUCCUUUUGGACCUUCUUCAGGACAAGAAUACCUGUCCUCGAUAUAUUAAAUGGACUCAGAGAGAGAAAGGAAUCUUUAAACUUGUGGAUUCAAAAGCUGUCUCCAAACUCUGGGGAAAACACAAAAACAAACCUGACAUGAACUACGAGACUAUGGGAAGAGCUCUGAGGUACUACUAUCAAAGAGGAAUCCUGGCAAAAGUUGAGGGACAGAGGCUGGUAUAUCAGUUUAAGGAGAUGCCAAAAAAUAUAGUUGUCAUAGAUGAUGACAAAAGUGAGUCCUGCCAUGAAGAUUUGUCGAUGCCUACAGAUGAAAAGUCCCUGGAAAGAGUGUCUUUAUCUGCAGAAAACCUUUUAAAAGCAGCAACCUCUGCACGUGAAGGGAAAAAUUCCUCUCAGUUAAACUGUACCAGAACAGAAAAAGCAGUCACCAGAGUUGUGAAUAUUGCCUCACCAGCUCACGACACAUCCUCAUCUCAUCCUUCUACUACCACUGCCACUGUCCCAGCAACAACAGCCCCCAGGACAGUUCGUGUGGCAAUGCAAGUGCCCGUCGUCAUGACCUCUCUGGGACAGAAAAUCUCAACGGUGGCAGUGCAGUCAGUAAACGCAGGCUCGCCGUUGAUAACCAACGCGAGCCCAACCGCGGCGACGACUCCCAAGGUGGUGAUCCAGACAAUCCCUACUGUGAUGCCCACCUCUGCUGAAAAUGGAGACAAGAUCACGAUGCAGCCCACCAAAAUCAUCACCAUCCCUGCCACGCAACUCACGCAGUGUCAGCUGCAAACGAAAACGGGCCUGUCCGGGUCGGGAAGUAUCAACAUCGUGGGAGCCCCGUUGGCCGUUCGAGCGCUAACCCCGGUGUCCAUAGCUCACGGGGCCCCGGUAAUGAGACUGUCGGUUCCUGCUCAGCAGGCCUCUGGCCAGACUCCUCCCAGGGUGAUCAGUGCAGUUCUCAAAGGCCCAGAAGUUAAAUCAGACACAGCCGCUUCGAAACAGGAAUGCGAAGUGAAAACGCUGCAGCUGGUAAAAGAGGAGAAGCCGGCGGAUGGGAGCAAGACUGUGACCCACGUAGUAGUAGUUAGUACACCCUCGGCUAUUGCCCUCCCUGUGACAGUGAAAACAGAAGGAAUCAUCGCCUGCGAGAAAUGAAGAAUGGGUUUCUUCCGGCACGGACUUGUAACUGUUACGGUUUUGAAUAUACUGACAUGACUGGGGGAGGGACGUGGAUGCCGCCACCAAGUCGUAAAGGAGAGUUUUGGAAUGUUAAUAAACAUGCCUAUGCUGAAGACUUACUGGAAAAAAAAAAAAAAAUUAUUUUCCCGUGUUUCAGUGGGAAUUAAACCACACUGAUAUGCCGAUAAAAACUGCCUCUUCCAGUUGGGAAACAGCUGAACCUGUGGAGAAGGAAAGAGAGAGGGACUGAAAAGGGACCAAACAAUUUCACUACGCUACCGGUUACCGAGUUACACUAAGACCUGAAACACUAAGAGAGAGCUGUGUGAGAGGCAUCCAUCCUAAUAUAAAUGAUACAGUGUGAAAUUUUGGGACUCCUGCCUGCUUCAAAGGGCUGACCAGCUCUCUCACUCUGUUCAAAUACCUGUGACUACAGCUACCUUGCUGUAGCUGGUGAGGUAACUUCUGGCAGGGGUGUAGUUCUUACACGGUUUCAGGAUGGUGAGUAUACACAUGAGCUCUGUGAGCUGCCUGACUGCUCCUCCAGCUACGCCAGAUAUUAGCUCCGUACUUCCAGUCCAUGUGCAUGGCUCGAAACGUAGCCUACCCUGGCACAUCAGGCUGUGGGUAGUCCCGUGCCCAGUGGAUCCCAGUUCCCAGUGAUAAUGCCCUGAAAAGUCUUCAGGGCAGGAACUUGGGUAAUCUUGAAAUCCUUGAAGUCUAAACGACCAUCGGAGCAGCAAUUUUAAUGGCUGUCUGAAGGAACUGGAGUCUUCUGUAACGCUAAAAGACACCAGAGUGAAAUACUUUACACACUGAGAACCAGGUUACUUGUAGAGUCCUGGCAGCAAGGCCCGUUCUUCCCUUCAGCUGGGAAGAAAAGUAGAAAUAGCUCCACACAGCCAGGCCAGCAUGUGGGGGGACCUUGAAAGGCUUCUGGAAAAACUAUUCUUUUUCAUCCUCUCGAGCAGGGAAGUGGAGUUUGAGAGCAAAAUGAAGCUGAAGCAGAUAAAAAGUUGUGUAUAAGGCAGCAAUCCCUUCCGUUGGUAGCAAUGCGAAGAAUCAAAGGUUCUUACACAUGAACUGUGUUUCUGGCAUGAGGUAGAGGACAAAGACCCCUUCACACAAGGAAAUGGAGAGAAAAGAGGACUUUUUCUUCCUAAGAAAGAGGUAGGAAAGGGAAGUAGGGGAAGCUGGGCAAUCGCUUGAUUAAUUUGGAAGUCUGAGAGGCACUAAUGUUCUGCACAAAGGGAAAUGGAACAGCGUAAAGAGAGGCAGGUGAAACAAAUCUGAACCAAAGGCCAAGAAGGGAGAGACAAGUCUUUUUAAACCUGCAAUUGUAAGUCCAGUCUGUAAGAAACCUUAUUCUAAAUGGCUGCUAUUUGAUUGUGUCUGAAAGAGAUGCUGUAUCUCAGAGCAUGAAAUGUCUAUGUUGAGUACUUGUAAUUAGACCUUUCCAGCGCCUAAUUUAGAUACACUUGAAGUCAAAUGGGGACAAACUAUCUUCCUAGAAUUAGAUAAGGAUCUCCAGCUGAUGACCUUCUUCUCUUAAUGCCAAGACUGCAUUAUGUAAUGGUAGAAACUGGAGGAAUGAAGGCACCCAACUCCACUGCUGGUGGGACAGUCAGCUCUGAGCCACUGCCAGUGCUGUCUUGCCCCGGAGCCAGUGAUGGUCCUUUGGCUCUCUCCCCUGGCCACCAGUGAGCGGCACAUGACGCUGGCUGCCAGAGGAUAUUUACCUGGAGUUCAUGAAGUGCUGUGAGAAUCCCAGGCUGUGUGAGGAUGCUGUGACUGAAAUGGAAAGGGGACUUAGCCUGAUUCUGCAAAUCAGUGUUUGUACUGGUGGUAUUGGAGGACAUGACCUCGGGAUGAGGGUGCUUUGGUUAGGGUGCUUUGUAACAUCUGAAACAGAUGAAAGGAACACUAGAAUAUUGAAAUACUUAGUAUCUAGCUGAAUUCCCAGGCUUUUGCAAUCCCAUUGAAAAAGCUGUUGAUUUGUACAUGUGUGAAAGCGGGACUCCCUUUUACCGGAUCUGAAUCUGGUGGCUCAUGUAGAAGAGUCCAAGCUUAACGCAUCCUUGGCAAGCAGGAACUCGUAGAUGUGUGGGUAGAAUGAAACUUGUGUGAAGUGAGUAUGCUUUAUACAGAAGGCAUUCAGCCAUACACAGACUUGGUACCACUGAUUUUGCAGAUAAAAACUAUUUUUAUUUUUCAAAUCCCCUGUUUUAAGUUACAGAAUGAAAAGGGUGAUGCUGUGUAAUCCACAGGAGAGAAAAAAAGUCUUAGCUGUGAGUUGCAACUCAGAAUAAAUGUCUGAGUAUCAAAAAUAAGAAAAGUUGGAAGGAGAAUCCCAUUCCAGAGAGAACUGGUUUUGUUAACCCUCUCUUGCACAUCUUUCCCAGUGAAGGGUUCUGGGUCUUGAUACAGCUCAGGUUGUCUGGGUAAAGUGUGCUGAAAGGAAGGCUGAACUCUUGGGAUCCUCUGCUAAUUAAUUUCAUCAACUUUAGGGCUUUGGAGAGUUACAUCUGAGGUGAUCGAGGAUGAGUGAGCCAGGGACAGUCAGAAGUUGAGGAGACAAUGGAGAGGUGCCCGAAGCCUCAAGUUCGUACUCAGCACGACAUGCGCGGCAGGGAUCUCAGCUGCACGCGAGGAUUGUUACUGCCCGAACAAGCUAAGUGCAUCCUGCCUUGUACAGACAGCUCAAAUAGCAGGUGUUAGGAUUAUUAAUAUGUGAUCCAAAUGACACUGUGUAUUUGGGAUCUAAUAGUUCUCCAGGAGAGAUGGUGUUUUAAAAAGCUUGUGACAGCUUCUGCCUCUCAGCAAAUUAAACAAGUGGGUCAUUUCUUCCUGCAGCUUGCUUGAGAGAGAUGGAAAAGUGUCGCUACUGAAGCUAAGGCAGCCUUUAUUCAAGAUGAAAGCAAGGGAUCUGUGCAGACUUUUUUUAGCCUUAUAAGCCAUACAUCCAUAAGAAGACCUUGGAAGACAUUUUUUACUGUAAGAGUCAUACUGCUACACAGGAAAAAAAAAAAAUCCUUUCUGCUUCUUCUGAAAGAUAUUCAGUGUACUGAUAUUUAUAGCUGGCAAAAGUAUUUCAGUGCUGCAGGCUAGCCUCUUGCUGCAUAAAACAAAGCAAGAGCAAUAAUCCAUUUAAGUUUUCCAAAAGAGUCUGUCUGCAAAAUAAAUUAUGGCAGGUACUGAAGCUGCCUGGGAACUUACUGGUUAAUUUCUGCAGCCUGUCUGCCUUUUUAUUAAAAACCAGCAGAAAGGGCUCACCACGGGGCAUUGGGCUGUAGCAGGGAUUUUCUGAGUAAGACAGUGUUAAGAAUUGCCUUGAGAUGGGAAGAGUCCCCAGCCUUCAAAAUUACCCUUUAAGGAGUUGAAGCAGUGAACAUCUACUGUAACAUGUCCGGGAUGAGAGAAGAAUCCCAGCCCUUUCCACUUAAGGAGAGGUUCUGCAGUGAUGGCAGCGUCGUACAAAUCACGCUCCUUCUCGACAGUCUGGUUUCUCGUGUGCGAGAAUCAGCGCUGGAAGCAAGGCUUUGAGUUACAAUGUCUUAAGAACCCUCCAGAUACCAUACACUCCACUGUGAGAGUGGCAGUGAGAGUCCUGCAGCUGUGAUAGUUCAAAAAAAGCCUCCCAUGACUGUGGCUCUGUGCUCUGGCAGUGGGAAAGGUACCACACCAAUGGACGCCUUGACUGGCCUGAGGAAAGUGGAGCUGCUUAUACAAAAGUGGAAUGCAAUCCUAGGCUUUUUGGUGGGAGUGCUGGGGGUUUUUUGGUUAUGGUUUAGUUUGUUUUUAAAUACAGACGUGACCUUUGCUCUCAAGUCAGGGCUUUCUACCACAAGGGCAGUUUCUUCCAGAAACUGCCAAAAGGGGUCUGGAUUGAAGCUCCAGGUUCAAUCCAGUGAGUUUUUGUGGCAGAUGAGCAAGGAUUUGACCUGCUAAAGGUACUGUCUUAGAGGUCCACAUUGUGGUGUUGAUUUUAGAAGUGUUGAUGAGCUAAUUAAUGGGCACUUGUAUUACUUUUCCUCCUUGCAAGACCAUUUGAGGGAAGGCCCUGAGAGAAAAUAAUCCUGACGGAGAAACACUGCAUCUCACCCCUUCUGCACAACACCAGGAAAUUGCAUCUCUUGCCUAAAAUCCCCCCCAAAAUGCCACCCUUCUGGCUUCCGGGGACACAAUUUGUUCUUUCUGAAAUUCCAACCAAAGGAGGUUGCCAGCAUGUUGCACCUGCCUGGUAAGAGUAUUCAGCAAGGCCAUUGUCUCCUUGGUGGUAAAAUCCUUUCUGUCUGGGGAAAGACAAAUCCAGAGAAAUCCCAGGCUGGUUAAAGGAGCCUCUGCUUGGAAGCAGACCAUUGCCCUCAUCCUGCAAGGGUCAGGAACAUGUGCAGAGCAUGUUAGAGCUGCACAAAAGCACUUCAUUUGUUUGCCUGGAAUGUGAGGAGUGUGCUCGUGUGGGAAUUUGGGACUUCCAAUCACCAGACUCCCUAUUUCCCUUCUCGGCAAUGCAAGCAUAGUAAUUUAUGGGCUGUGCAAAGCUCACACCUGCGGCGUUUCUUCUCUUCAGAUGAGGUUUUAGCAGAAAGUGGCAGAUACAGCUGCAUCCUGCAAGGGGCCAGCCUGCCCAGGCACACUUUGCAGCCCUCAGGGAGGAAUUCCUGCACUUCGCUUUGCAGGACUAGCUAGGUUUGUAGUUCCACACAGCUGUGGGAAAGGGGAAUAGUUACAGUGUAGGUUUCCUCUCUUAACUCUGGAAGGGUGAGCAGCUUAACAGCUAAGCAUAACUCCCUUCCCUUCAGACUUGUGAAAUUUGGACAUCCCAAGUUGGAGGAGUGUGCUGUGAAGGCAAAGCAGCUGUGCCACUCUGAGAUUAGGGUCAGGGGUGGGGGAAAAGAGGUCUGGAAGGGGAAGCAUCAGCUUGAAGCUCAAACUAGUUGAGAUAUGUCACCUUCUUGGCAACAGGAACUUGUGACAGUGAAGUGAGAAAGACAGGCAGCA